UUUAUGUUUCUGGUGUGUAGGUAUGGCGAGUUAAAGAUUUUGAAUGUGGGGUGUAAUCUAUAAUUAGUAUACUGGAGGCCACCGCUGCUGCUAAAUCCACCGUCAGAGAAGAAAGUCAUUGCAAAGAGGGGAGAGAAAAAAUUGGAAGAAAAGUAGAGAGGAAGACCCGAAGCAGAAAACGUGGGAGAGGAGGAGCCCUUCAGCUACCAUACACCGCCGCUUCACCGUCGUCACCGUCGGAAAGGACCAUAGCCACCGUGCCCUUGACCUGGUCUAUCUUUGCCCCCCUUAUCUGUUCUGCCUCUGCCAUGGGAUUUAUUUUGAUAAAUUUAUUUUUUAAAUUGCUAUUUUGCUAUUUUCCCUUUCUGCUCUUCCCCUGCCAUUAAAAAUCAUGAGACAGAAGUGCAAGUAUGAACUUAAGAUUCCAUGAUGCAAAUGGCGUGUCACUAGCAUUUAGUGUUCUUGAGAAGCUUAUUCAGCUUUUAGGGAGCAAAAGUAGCCUCAUUGAAGUAGGUUCUAAACUUCACACGGUAUAGUACUACUACAUAAGCUAAGAAUUUCCUUCAGUAUAGAAGAAACUUUUGCAUCAUCAAUUUAACAUUUUUGCCCUGGAAUAUAUCUUCUGUCUUUUUUGUCAAUGAAUCAGUCUUAUAUGUUCUUAUUUUGCAGAUCCAUGCCAUGUUUGAUUUGAGUUAUCUGUGGGGAUUUAAUUUAAAGUGAGAUUUUAUCUACGACAAAGUUAUAAAUUUGGUUACAGUACAUUUUAUGUAGAGGGCUGAAUUUUACUAUUUUAAUUAAUUUCCAAAAUUUUUAUUUGAACCUUUUGUAAAAGUUAUUUGUUUAUCUGGUCAUUUGUUACAAAUGAAUGUGCCUUCAAGAAUUAGCAGGUAAGAGGGAGAGAUAAUUUUUUAAACAUUUUAAAACAUGAAUCUGUGAAUUAUGAAGUAUUUUCUUGGUUAGUAUAUCGGUGCUUUUUUUUGUUUUAAUUGGAUACCUUUUUGGCUUUACUAUGUUUAUUGAUAUGCUAUUUAUUUCGAAUUGGAUGAUGAUGCCAAUGGGUCAUUUAACAAUCCAUCUUAGUUCUCUUUCUCUUUAAUAUUUUUUUUGGUUGCAUUAUGUGUUGCUCAUUGAGUAGAGGAAGAUGGUCAGUAUUUAUUAUGUGCUUUCUGCAUAAAGCAUAUGGUUUUCUGUUGGUUUUAAAUUAUUAUUUGCUUAAAAUUUCUUUCUUCUUUUGGUUUUAAUUGUUUGUUGUGUGAUCAUAAUUGAUGUGAUUUAGUGUUUCAGUGUUAUCAUGUUUGUGUAUAUGCAAAAUGGGAUGAAAAUCUGUCUUCAUCAGUGAUGUUUUUACUGGACUGAGUGAAAAAAAAAAAAAAAAUAAUUAAGUUCUUUCAUUUCCUUUUUUGCAGCUUCGAUACUUCUAUAGGCAGCCACCACUAUGUGGAAACUUAGUCCAUAGUGUGCAUAAUUUAAUUAUAAGAUUUUCUUCCUAAAAUUUGUUUGGUAAUGUGUUAUGUUUGGUUCUUUCUAUGCUAUAUAUGUUUUGGCAAGAUGUUAUUUUUCACUUUUUUCUUAAAUAAAAUAAUCUCCCCCCUUCUUAAUUUAUGCUUUAUGCAUUGUCUCGAUUCAAGAUUGAAUUCCAAAUCUAAAUGCAUAUAGUAUAGAUUACAUUAAUUUUUUGUGAGUGUGUUUAUUGGUACUUUGAUUUCUUUUGUUCUUUGUUAGUAAAAUCAAAAUUAGUCUUCUAAUAUGAUUCCUUAUGGAGACAAUAUGUCAUCACUUUAUGGUUGGUUGGUCGGUCUAUUUCAAUCUAUGCCAAAUUAAUAAUCAUAGACCUAUAAAUAUAAUUUAACUCAUCUUUUUGUUCUCUUGAGUUUAUUUUUCUUUUUCAUGAUUGUUUUUAUGAAUAGAUGGAGUGUUAUUGGUACAGUAUGAGUACUGCAAAUGUAGUUGAGUGUGAUACUAUGGUUUAUUUAUAGGUUGAAGUUUAUUUCUUAGUAAAGUACCUUGCUUUAGUUAGGACUUUUUGUUCUAUUGUAGAAUCAUUUCUAAGCUUCACUCUCUGUCAUAUUUUUUUGAAGCUGCAGUUACAAUUGGUUUAAACAAUUUUUAGGCCUAUGUUAUAGAACUUCACGAAACUACUUGGAUUUUUAGGCUGAAAAUAGAGAAAACAAAAUGCUUAUUUCACAGGCUGUUAUUUUUUUUCUCAUGAAGUUUUCUCUUAUAUUAAGAUAAAUUCCUCUUCUAUUUAUGUUGUGUUUAUGUUGAACAAACUUGCCGCAAAAAAUGCCACCAUGUAUUUGUGAAUUUUCAGGUUCAUGUGUUUUCUAUAGGGAAUGGAGUAUGUGUUGCAUGGAGUCAUUGCUUUGGGAAUAAUGACUGCUGGUGGUGUACUCUCAGAAGUGUAUCUAGCAUCACAUGUUUUAUAGAUUAAGAAGCAAGGUGAUUUUGCUGAUUUUAUUGUCACACUUUAAACUAUGACAAGAUAAUUGUUUUAAGUAGAAUUAUGUAAUUCCUUUUUUUGUUAAACAAA
This is a long non-coding RNA of Arachis duranensis, 2530 nucleotides long. RefSeq lists it as uncharacterized. The record is from RefSeq and is a predicted model, not a curated record. The transcript has 3 exons. NCBI's taxonomy places the organism in Eukaryota, Viridiplantae, Streptophyta, Magnoliopsida, Fabales, Fabaceae.